AUGCCAGCAGCCGCGGUAAUACGAAGGGUGCAAGCGUUACUCGGAAUCACUGGGCGUAAAGCGUGCGUAGGCGGUUUCUUAAGUCUGUCGUGAAAGCCCUGGGCUCAACCUGGGAAUGGCGAUGGAUACUGGGAGGCUAGAGUGUGAUAGAGGAUGGUGGAAUUCCCGGUGUAGCGGUGAAAUGCGUAGAGAUCGGGAGGAACACCAGUGGCGAAGGCGGCCAUCUGGAUCAACACUGACGCUGAGGCACGAAAGCGUGGGGAGCAAACAGGAUUAGAAACCCUGGUAGUCC
Molecule: ribosomal RNA, 292 nt
Filed under: uncultured bacterium
Lineage: Bacteria
Description: partial 16S ribosomal RNA
Rfam family: Bacterial small subunit ribosomal RNA
Source: RNAcentral